GAUGAACGCUGGCGGCGUGCCUAAUACAUGCAAGUCGAGCGAACAGACCAGUUUCUUGCUCCUCUGACGUUACCAGCGGGCGGGUAAGUAACACGUGACUAACCUACCUCUAUGACUUAGCUACCUUCGGGAAACCGUAGUUCCUACCGGGUACUAUAUUUACCCGCAUGGUUCAAUAGUGAAUGACGGUUUUGCUGUCACUUAUCGAUUUAUCCGCGCCGCGUUAGCUAGUUGGUAAGGUAACGGCUUACCAAGGCAACGAUGCGUAGCCGACCUGAGCGGGUGAAGGCGGACACUGGAAGUGAGACACGGUACAGACACCGACAGGAGGCAGAAGUAGGGAAGCUACGGAAAAGGGCGAAAGACUGAAGGAGCAACGCAGGGUGAGUGAUGAAGGGCUGCGGACCGGAAAACGCUGUUAUGAGGGAAGAACAAAUGUGUAAGUAACGAUGCACGGCGUGACGGUAGUGAAUCAGAAAGCAACGGCUAACUACGUG
RNAcentral lists this ribosomal RNA (497 nucleotides) under uncultured bacterium. Its description in RNAcentral is "partial 16S ribosomal RNA". It matches the Rfam family "Bacterial small subunit ribosomal RNA", at positions 28 to 507 of the family's 1533-position model. The record is from RNAcentral.